Myotis davidii is the source of this 1272-nucleotide long non-coding RNA. RefSeq lists it as uncharacterized. The transcript is spliced from 2 exons. The record is from RefSeq and is a predicted model, not a curated record. Lineage: Eukaryota; Metazoa; Chordata; Mammalia; Chiroptera; Vespertilionidae.
UGCAUGGACUUGGAGCAGGGGAGAGGAAAUUAGAUAUAUGAGUAAGCCAGCAGAGACUAGUAACACAUCAGUAAAGCAGAUAAAGAAGAUCAAUUUUUUAUAAGGAGUAAAAAGAAAGGAGAGAGAAAAAUGUUCUCCAGGCGUCCUCUGUCCUUUCCAGCCACGGAUCGUCUCACCAGCUGUGUUUAAUUUGCCAAUUCCGGGUGGAUGUUAUUUGGUUUAGUUGUUUCUUCUAUCUGCUCCAUCAGAAGGUGCAGGACACAUCUGCCUAUCUGGACGCCAUUUUGCCUCCCCCAGUUAUACUGAAUUUUGUUGUUGCUGCUGUUUUCCUGGAUUCGGUUGAACUGAGUGUCCUGCACUUUUAUCAACUCAAAGCCUGGCAACCAUGCUCGGAGAGCUGGCUCGUGCCUCAGCUGUGUGCACUCGGGGCACCGUGGUGUGUGGCCGAGGCCUCCCCUGGCGUUAGUGGCAAAGGGGAACCAGAGGCUGAUUGCCAGCACUGUGCUGCUUCUGUGCCCGCGCAGUACCCCCUCCCUGUUUCGAACCCUGGAACUUCUGACAGGAUGGCCAGAGUUGGGAAAGGAAGGGAUGGGGAGGUGGGGGCUCACACUCAGGGAUGGGCAGAUCGCUCCUGUGUUACAGUUUUAUUUCCCACUGUAGGUGCUGACCCCCUAUGCUGUUUCAACCCCAAUGACAAAGAACCUCAACACCAGCCUGAUAACCAAGACUGCCGAUGAGUUUGUUAAAGAAUCACUCAAUUACGUCACAUUUGGCGAUGAAACCUGCGGCUGCCUCGUCCACGAAAUCCUGGCAAGCUUUCUGAGCCUGAUCCCAUCUUGGGUCAUCUACAGCAGCUUGGUCAAGAAGCUACUCCUGACUCAUUAUGCCAACUACCUCAAGAGGAAUGCCAACAUCAGAUAGUCUGGGGGCCUGAUGGCCAUCCAGCAUCAUUUUCUUCACCAGGUUCUGCACUGACUGCAGAGGACCAAGGAGCAGACCGUCACCCAUCACCCCCUGAAGCUGGAGGUCCAUGCCACAGACAUAGUCCCUAGAAUACAAUUUGUGUGCCAAUUAGCUCAUGUUAAAAUCAAGGCCAAAUGGAGACAGGCCUUGAAAAUUCCCUGAGCAGAUAAAGCCAGCUUAUUCAUACAAGCAAAACUUAGUUUAGCUUAUUUUGUAAGACUAAAGAUGGACUCAGGGCAGGCCGCCCUCAAAUAUGUCACUUUGGCAUAUCUAUGAUUUUGAAUUAAAAUUACUUAAACAGCACGAGUA